This 490-nucleotide ribosomal RNA is filed under the name uncultured bacterium. RNAcentral describes it as "partial 16S ribosomal RNA". It matches the Rfam family "Bacterial small subunit ribosomal RNA", at positions 30 to 507 of the family's 1533-position model. The record is from RNAcentral.
AUUGAACGCUGGCGGCAGGCCUAACACAUGCAAGUCGAACGGUAACAGGAAGCAGCUUGCUGCUUCGCUGACGAGUGGCGGACGGGUGAGUAAUGUCUGGGAAGCUGCCUGAUGGAGGGGGAUAACUACUGGAAACGGUAGCUAAUACCGCAUAACGUCGCAAGACCAAAGAGGGGGACCUUAGGGCCUCUUGCCAUCGGAUGUGCCCAGAUGGGAUUAGCUAGUAGGUGGGGUAACGGCUCACCUAGGCGACGAUCCCUAGCUGGUCUGAGAGGAUGACCAGCCACACUGGAACUGAGGCACGGUCCAGACUCCUACGGGAGGCAGCAGUGGGGAAUAUUGCACAAUGGGCGCAAGCCUGAUGCAGCCAUGCCGCGUGUAUGAAGAAGGCCUUCGGGUUGUAAAGUACUUUCAGCGGGGAGGAAGGGAGUAAAGUUAAUACCUUUGCUCAUUGACGUUACCCGCAGAAGAAGCACCGGCUAACUCCGUG